UUUCUCCGUUGUGACAAUGCAUGGUGUC
Molecule: non-coding RNA, 28 nt
Filed under: Rattus norvegicus (Norway rat)
Lineage: Eukaryota; Metazoa; Chordata; Mammalia; Rodentia; Muridae
Source: RNAcentral